This is a long non-coding RNA of Cajanus cajan (pigeon pea), 596 nucleotides long. RefSeq lists it as uncharacterized. NCBI's taxonomy places the organism in Eukaryota, Viridiplantae, Streptophyta, Magnoliopsida, Fabales, Fabaceae. The record is from RefSeq and is a predicted model, not a curated record.
CCUUAAACGACGUUUGAGUGGCAUCUGUGUAGUGAAGCACAUUUGUUUCUUUCUUAGACGAUUCUUGCGCACUACUGUCUUUCAAAAGGACUAGGUCUUGCAAGAGAUAAAGGCUAUUAGCUUUGAUAAAGUUUUCUCGAGUUUAUGUUUGUCAAAAGGGGCUAAAGACUAAAGGAAUUUGCUUUUAUACUAGCAGGAUUUUCUCCCACCAUCGGGACUAUAACAUAUGCUUGACUUCAGAUUUUGGUCACAGGUGUUGGAGCAACCCUCAAAGAUAAAGCUGGCAGGAAGCCCCUACUUCUGAUAUCUGGAUCGGGAUUGGUCACAGGAUGUGUAUUUGUAGCAGUUGCAUUCUAUCUUAAGAUUCGACAAAUAUUUGACUUUGUUUCCUGAAUUAAGAACGGUGGAGGGCAGGAUGCCGAGAAUCUAAGAGUCAAGCCAAACGAUGCUUCAAGUAUUCCUAAUACACCUUUGGAUGCAAGAGGAUCAUCUGGUGCUAGCAACCCUUAGUUUGCAUAUAAUGUAUUUUGGAUUUAAAGUUUAGUAUGAGGCUAAUUUGACAAUGUUAUGAAUUUUAUGUUGUACUUGAAAUUAUA